This 492-nucleotide ribosomal RNA is filed under the name uncultured bacterium. RNAcentral describes it as "partial 16S ribosomal RNA". It matches the Rfam family "Bacterial small subunit ribosomal RNA", at positions 29 to 507 of the family's 1533-position model. The record is from RNAcentral.
AGUGAACGCUGGCGGCAGGCCUAACACAUGCAAGUCGAACGGCAGCACAGUAAGAGCUUGCUCUUACGGGUGGCGACUGGCGGACGGGUGAGGAAUACAUCGGCAUCUACUUUUUCGUGGGGGAUAACGUAGGGAAACUUACGCUACUACCGCAUACGACCUACGGGUGAAAGCAGGAGAUCUUCGGACCUUGCGCGUCUCAAUGAGCUGAUGCCGGAUUAGCUAGUUGGCGGGGUAAAGGCCCACCAAGGCGACGAUCCGUAGCUGGUCUGAGAGGAUGAUCAGCCACACUGGAACUGAGACACGGUCCAGACUCCUACGGGAGGCAGCAGUGGGGAAUAUUGGACAAUGGGCGCAAGCCUGAUCCAGCCAUACCGCGUGGGUGAAGAAGGCCUUCGGGUUGUAAAGCCCUUUUGUUGGGAAAGAAAAGCAGCAGGUUAAUACCCCGCUGUUCUGACGGUACCCAAAGAAUAAGCACCGGCUAACUUCGUG